Molecule: ribosomal RNA, 445 nt
Filed under: uncultured bacterium
Lineage: Bacteria
Description: partial 16S ribosomal RNA
Rfam family: Bacterial small subunit ribosomal RNA
Source: RNAcentral
GUAAGGAAUAUUGGUCAAUGGACGAAAGUCUGAACCAGCCAUGCCGCGUGGAGGAUGAAGGUCCUCUGGAUUGUAAACUUCUUUUAUAUGGGACGAAAAAAGGCUUUUCUAAGUCGUCUGACGGUACCAUAUGAAUAAGCACCGGCUAACUCCGUGCCAGCAGCCGCGGUAAUACGGAGGGUGCAAGCGUUAUCCGGAUUCACUGUGUUUAAAGGGUGCGUAGGUGGAUUGCCAAGUCCGUGGUGAAAUCUUCGAGCUUAACUCGGAAACUGCCAUGGAUACGGGUGAUCUUGAAUAUCGUGGAGGUUAGCGGAAUAUGUCAUGUAGCGGUGAAAUGCUUAGAUAUGACAUAGAACACCAAUUGCGAAGGCAGCUGGCUACGCGAAUAUGGACACUCAGGCACGAAAGCGUGGGGAUCAAACAGGAUUAGAUACCCCUGUAGUCC